UACGAAGGGUGCUAGCGUUGUUCGGAAUCACUGGGCGUAAAGCGUGCGUAGGCGGCUUUGCAAGUCAGGGGUGAAAUCCCACAGCUCAACUGUGGAAUUGCCUUUGAAACUGCAUGGCUGGAGUAUCGGAGGGGUCAGGGGAAUUCCUAAUGUAGUGGUGAAAUACGUAGAUAUUAGGAGGAACACCGGUGGCGAAGGCGCCUGACUGGACGGUAACUGACGCUGAGGCACGAAAGCGUGGGGAUCAAACAGG
This 253-nucleotide ribosomal RNA is filed under the name uncultured bacterium. RNAcentral's name for it is "partial 16S ribosomal RNA". It matches the Rfam family "Bacterial small subunit ribosomal RNA", at positions 524 to 776 of the family's 1533-position model. The record is from RNAcentral.